CACCUUACAACUUUAAAAUAAUUAAUAAAAUAAAACACAAAUUUUCACGGAUUUAAUUAUAUUCCCACAUCCAAGAAUUUUUACAACACUUGAAAAGGAAAUCGAAUCAAAUUGUUUCUCAUUACAGGGAAAAUAAAAUGCACAGUUGUCUCUUUGGACCAAUAAAAAGGUAGACAAAAAUUCAUCAACAACUUGGUCCAUCCCAAAGAUCUUGCCCCACACUGGGAGCUUCCCAGGACAUGGGACUAAUUUCUACCAGACAAAAAAUGAUUUUUGGGUUCUCUAAUCCAUCUAACGUCUUCGCUUCUGCCUCUGAGUUGGGAACGUGAGAGGGACAGGAAGGGUUGCCAAUAAUAACUUGUUUUCACGUACAAGCUUGCACCCCAAAUUCUCAAAAUGCACUCUUAAGUUAACAGGACUAACCUUCAGAUCUUUGGCAAUGUCUGUCGGGUCAGUCCUGAAAUCAUCAGCAUACAGAGUCAGCACUAGGACAUAACUAAUGAGAUGAUCAGUUUUCUCAAUUGGCAGCCUUCUUGAUUCUGGAGUAAAAAUCUCCACAAAUUUCUGCCGAAGAAUGCUUGGAAACCUGUGGGUCUUUGCUGAGGAUGCACCAUCCAAAGAAUGCAGAUCUUUAAACUUUAUAAGAUGAGUAAUGUAGGAGAAGAUGUGCGAAAGUGUCUUCUUCUCCACUUCAUCCUACAAAUAGAAGCACAAUACACAUGAUUAAAAUAGCAAAAAAUUGAAAGGACAUCCUGCAAUUGAUAAUGGGAAUAUUCUGUAAUCUAUGUCAAGAUCGGCCUUGAUUGAAUGAAAGAAAUUUAAAGCUAUAUCCUCCCCCUUUCUCCCCUUGAAAAGGAUGAGCAAGAGAAAGCACAUGGUAAAAUGUUAAAAGGUGGAACUAAGUAGCGCUCAUUGCACAAGGGUACUUGUACAAGUAAGGUUAUUUAUAAUGCAAUAAUUGAUUAAGGAAGGAAUACUUUGCAACUAAUACAAUGGCAACACAUUGGGAACUUGGCAUGGAAAUUAAGCAAGGGAAAACUCCACCUCCUAUUCAUGACAGUAAAAAUUUUUGAGAAUACCAAUAAAUCUUUGCAUACAUCACAAAAUUUAUGCAUUUAAAUGAUUUACUAAGAAACUUUCAUGCUAAUAAAAAGUUUUCAAAAAUUCGAAACAAAUCCAUUCCUUUGAUGUUGCAGAAGUUAUUACUUCCAAUUUGAAUAACAUAGCGCCAUAGCCCAUUUUUAUUUCAUUCAUUUCAAACUUCAAGACUGAGUAAUAAUGGUAGUUAAAAUUGCAAUUCCAUUAAGAUGUUGGCAAAAACCAUCACUGACUUGGUACACUCUUACCUGGAUUUCCUGUAAUUUAUGGAUUCUGUUGCGAACAAAACUUGGGUAAGCAUUGCUCAUUGCUCCAGCCCCUCCUUGCAAAAUCUCAUAAAUAUCUUCAAGGAAAUCCCACUCUCCUGUAAGAAUAAUCCUAUUCAAAGGAUAGGCCUCCUUAGGGGUGGUGGCAGAGGUGUUAUGAGGUGGAAUGUUUCGAGCAACAUGGGCACUAGCACUUUCAAGAGCCUCCUUGUUAACCACAACAUUAUCAAUUUUCUUGCCCAAAUCUCUCUGUGAUUCAGGAUCAUCUCCCUGCUUCAGAGCCUGUGCUUUUUUAUACUGGCUUACGGAUGCCUUUGAUCCAUAGGCAAGAUUAAGUGCCAUUAUCUUAUCUGCCUUUUUUUCUCCAGAAACCUCCUCAUUUUCCAAAACUGAAGGUUCCUUAUCAGCAGUAUCUAAUCCUCGGACUUUAGGUUGCAAUCUGAAUAUCUUAUUUCCGGCAACAGGCAUAAUCUUCAAAGUCUGAGUCUUCUUAUCAAAAACCCCAAGCGCAUAAGUGCACAACUGAGCAGCCGUAGCCUCACCUUUAUAGCUCUUGCCCACAAAAUCCAUAUCGUACGCAUUAGGAUUCACAACCAGUUCCAUCCUUUCUGAACUUUUCCAUUUAUCAUUCUUUUCAUUGGAACUUUUCUCAAUCUUGGUCCUUUGAGCAUUCCUAUAAAACCUAACAGUUGGCUGUGGAAGUGACAAGUUUUCUUCGUGAUUGGGUUCCUGCGAAUUGUUGCUGUCAUCAUAUUUACGAGGCUCAUAACCAGAAGGGAAAUAUCCCACUAUAGGCGGGGUUUUAUCAGGACGGUCAUAAAUGACUUCAAUUUUGACAUUCAUAGGUGGUUGCUCAUUGGAUUCAUCAACGUUGAGUGGCUGGUCAUUCUGGAUUGAGAUUGUCCCAUCAUCAUAGCUUCUCUCAUUGUCCCUCUUUUUCUCCUUUUUUGAUUUCUCGGUAGCUGUUUGUGGUGAUUCUUGGCUCACAAUAUCUUCAGUGUUCUCCCUCUUUCUCUUCUUUUUUGAUUUCUUAUGUGGUGAUUCUUGGCUCACAGCUUUAAUGUUGGUUAACUGUGACCCUAAUUCCGACCCCAUAGUAGAUUCCUAAUUCUCAGCAACAAAACGAGUGACUUCAACUCAAAUAAUUGUAAGGAAACUAUUUCCUCUCUCACAAUCAAGCUCAGCAACACACACACGCACAAAAAUCACUUCUUUUAAAGCACGAAAUCAAACUUAAGUGAGCUAAGUAACUGCAAAAUUACCUAAUUUUUGCGGAACGAGCCAAAAGCAAGAGGGUUCCAAAGGAAGCAAAUCGCUAUCUUUUCUUCUUCCUUUGCUUUCCUUAACUUUCUCGGCAACCUAACAGAAAAACUCUUAAUCAAGCAAAACAGAGAGGUGCAGGUGGAAAGUGUCCCUGGAUUAGGGUUUUG
This 2794-nucleotide unclassified non-coding RNA is filed under the name Hevea brasiliensis (rubber tree). The record is from RNAcentral. Lineage: Eukaryota; Viridiplantae; Streptophyta; Magnoliopsida; Malpighiales; Euphorbiaceae.